GANUUCAACGGCCGNCGGUACUCUAACCGUGCGAAGGUAGCACAAUAACUUGUUCUUUAAAUAAGGACUAGAAUCAAUGGCUUCACGAGGGUUGUACUGUCUCCUUUUUCCAAUCAGUGAAACUGAUCUCCCCGUGAAGAAGCGGGGAUAUUUUUAUAAGACGAGAAGACCCCAUGGAGCUUUAANACUUAAUAGAUAACCUCUGCAAAUCACNNNNAUGGUAAUUUUGGNNNNCUUUUANNUCUAUUAGUUUUGGGUUGGGGUGACCACGGAGAAUAACCUAGCCUCCGCAAUGAAAAGANAUAAUAUCNCUAAUCUAAGAGGGACACCUCUAAGAAUUAAUAAAUUAACAUAUACUGAUCCNAAUAUUUAUAUUUGAUCAAUGAACCAAGUUACCCUGGGGAUAACAGCGCAAUCCAUUUCAAGAGUUCCUAUCGACAAGUGGGUUUACGACCUCGAUGUUGGAUCAGGGUAUCCCGGUGGUGCAGCC
This 490-nucleotide ribosomal RNA is filed under the name Ptychadena baroensis. RNAcentral's name for it is "partial 16S ribosomal RNA". It matches the Rfam family "Bacterial large subunit ribosomal RNA", at positions 1920 to 2560 of the family's 2925-position model. Lineage: Eukaryota; Metazoa; Chordata; Amphibia; Anura; Ptychadenidae. The record is from RNAcentral.